RNAcentral lists this long non-coding RNA (1216 nucleotides) under Oreochromis niloticus (Nile tilapia). RNAcentral's name for it is "lncRNA (ENSONIG00000016902.2)". Lineage: Eukaryota; Metazoa; Chordata; Actinopteri; Cichliformes; Cichlidae. The record is from RNAcentral.
AAUUAAUGAAGAACAUUAAGCACUUAAUUUCUUCUAAUAACUGGUUUUGCGUCACUCGGAAAUGACAGUGUAAAACAACUUGGUUGGGGUGGCUCAAAAGGGAAGCAUUUAAUAUUCACAAUCUAAUCAGUUUCUUAUAAAAAAAAAUUAAAAAAGAAAGAAGGAAAAUUAUGAAAGCAACCUGCCAGACAUUAAAGUUUUCUUUUCCCUUUUAUAAUAGGGUCUUUUAAAGACCAGCAUCGCCUCUGAGCUGUAAAAAUAUAUUAAAUAAAAAAUAUUUAGAUUUAAAAAAAACCCCAAAACAAAACACUGCUGGCGGUGCCAAGGUGAGGUGAGAUGUGUUGUUUUUCAUCCCGGAGCCUCUCUGUCAGUCACCUCCUCACAGCCAAUGAUAAGUUCGCCUCGGUCGGACCGACUCGCCGCUUGCUCCUCCGGUCCCUCCUCGUGCUGUCCUCGCCGUGCACGCGCGUGGUACCCACGGUCGUGAGGAGGAGGAGGAUGUUGCGCGUGAAGGGGAAAUGGCUGCCGAAAACAAGCCGGAAGAUGAACAUGGACAUUUGAAAAUAUACCUGCCCAAGAAGCUGCUUGAAUGUCUACCAAAAUGCACGUCGCUGCCAAAGGAGAGACACCGGUGGAACACUAAUGAGGUACGGACAGCACUGCUAAUCAUACCUCUUUCCACUAAAUCCAUCUCUCUUCAAAGAUAGCCGUACAUAAGACGCGGUUCUCUCGGGCCCUUUCCAGACAUAUAAAUCAUAUGAAAUCUCUCUGAAAUAACAACUGCUACCUGUGAUGUUCACUGUUACACCAAAAUACAUUGAACAAUGCUGGUGUACGUUACAUGCUUAAAUAUGACAUAUGAAGAUAGUGUAAGUGUGAUUUUUAAAUGUACCUAUUAGGGUUUAUUUCUAGCUCUUGUGCUCCCACUUCACAUUACACCUAUUUCAGCAUGUAUUAUAACUUUACAGGAUUUUAUAUUUGCAUUAAUAACUAUAUUUGAAAUUUAAAGUCCAUCUUCAUCUUAUAUUGACACACAGUUUCCUCUGAUAUUUUUUUAGAUGUACUUUUGCCAACAAAGAUAAUUCACUGGUUUCAGUUGCAGUACGUUGUGCGGUGGAUUUUUUUUAUUUAACCUCACUUUUAAACUGAAACACGUCUCCGAGUCUGUAAUUUGUGUUUACUAGAAAUUUGGCACGAAAACCCUGUUUGUUAAUGU